RNAcentral lists this unclassified non-coding RNA (343 nucleotides) under soil metagenome. RNAcentral describes it as "partial contains 5.8S ribosomal RNA, internal transcribed spacer 2, and large subunit ribosomal RNA". The stretch from base 1 to 120 matches the Rfam family "5.8S ribosomal RNA", at positions 35 to 154 of the family's 154-position model. The record is from RNAcentral.
GAUGAAGAACGCAGCGAAAUGCGAUAAGUAGUGUGAAUUGCAGAAUUCAGUGAAUCAUCGAAUCUUUGAACGCACAUUGCGCCCCUUGGUAUUCCAUGGGGCAUGCCUGUUCGAGCGUCAUUACACACCUCAAGCUCUGCUUGGUAUUGGGCGUCGUCCCCUAAACGGGACGUGCCUCAAAGACCUCGGCGGUGGCGUCUUUGCCUCAAGCGUAGUAAUCUUUUUAUCUCGCUUUGGAGUCGAAGGCGUCGCCCGCCGGACGAAACCUUUAUUUUUCUAUCAAGGUUGACCUCGGAUCAGGUAGGGAUACCCGCUGAACUUAAGCAUAUCAAUAAGCGGAGGA